RNAcentral lists this ribosomal RNA (697 nucleotides) under Salmonella enterica. RNAcentral describes it as "bacterial SSU rRNA". It matches the Rfam family "Bacterial small subunit ribosomal RNA", at positions 846 to 1533 of the family's 1533-position model. The record is from RNAcentral. Lineage: Bacteria; Pseudomonadati; Pseudomonadota; Gammaproteobacteria; Enterobacterales; Enterobacteriaceae.
CCGGAGCUAACGCGUUAAGUAGACCGCCUGGGGAGUACGGCCGCAAGGUUAAAACUCAAAUGAAUUGACGGGGGCCCGCACAAGCGGUGGAGCAUGUGGUUUAAUUCGAUGCAACGCGAAGAACCUUACCUGGUCUUGACAUCCACAGAAGUUUGCAGAGAUGCGAAUGUGCCUUCGGGAACUGUGAGACAGGUGCUGCAUGGCUGUCGUCAGCUCGUGUUGUGAAAUGUUGGGUUAAGUCCCGCAACGAGCGCAACCCUUAUCCUUUGUUGCCAGCGGUUAGGCCGGGAACUCAAAGGAGACUGCCAGUGAUAAACUGGAGGAAGGUGGGGAUGACGUCAAGUCAUCAUGGCCCUUACGACCAGGGCUACACACGUGCUACAAUGGCGCAUACAAAGAGAAGCGACCUCGCGAGAGCAAGCGGACCUCAUAAAGUGCGUCGUAGUCCGGAUUGGAGUCUGCAACUCGACUCCAUGAAGUCGGAAUCGCUAGUAAUCGUGGAUCAGAAUGCCACGGUGAAUACGUUCCCGGGCCUUGUACACACCGCCCGUCACACCAUGGGAGUGGGUUGCAAAAGAAGUAGGUAGCUUAACCUUCGGGAGGGCGCUUACCACUUUGUGAUUCAUGACUGGGGUGAAGUCGUAACAAGGUAACCGUAGGGGAACCUGCGGUUGGAUCACCUCCUUACCUGAAAGAA